CCUACGGGAGGCAGCAGUAGGGAAUAUUGCACCAUGGACGGAAGUCUGAUGCAGCAACGCCGCGUGAGUGAUGAAGGCCUUCGGGUCGUAAAACUCUUUUCAAGGGGAAGAGGAAGGACGGUACCCUUGGAAUAAGCAUCGGCUAACUACGUGCCAGCAGCCGCGGUAAU
This 170-nucleotide ribosomal RNA is filed under the name uncultured Bellilinea sp. RNAcentral's name for it is "partial 16S ribosomal RNA". It matches the Rfam family "Bacterial small subunit ribosomal RNA", at positions 338 to 524 of the family's 1533-position model. The record is from RNAcentral. Lineage: Bacteria; Bacillati; Chloroflexota; Anaerolineae; Anaerolineales; Anaerolineaceae.